GAGAGUUUGAUCCUGGCUCAGGACGAACGUUGGCGACGUGCCUAACACAUGCAAGUCGAGCGGUGAAAAGCGGACUUAAUCUUCGGAAAGAGGAAACUUGGAACAGCGGCGGACGGGUGAGUAAUACAUGAGCAACCUGCCUUGGACAGAGGGAUAGCCGUGGGAAACUGCGAUUAAUACCUCAUAAGACCCCACUAUCGCAUGAUAGAGAGGUUAAAGAUUCAUCGGUCCAAGAUGGGCUCAUGACCCAUUAGCUAGUUGGUGAGAUAACAGCCCACCAAGGCGACGAUGGGUAGCCGGCUUGAGAGAGUGACCGGCCACAUUGGAACUGAGACACGGUCCAGACUCCUACGGGAGGCAGCAGUGGGGAAUAUUGCACAAUGGAGGAAACUCUGAUGCAGCGACGUCGCGUGAGCGAAGAAGGUUUUCGAAUCGUAAAGCUCUGUCCUAUGGGAAGAAGAAAGACGGUACCAUAGAAGAAAGCCCCGGCUAACUACGUGCCAGCAGCCGCGGUAAUACGUAGGGUGCGAGCGUUGUCCGGAAUUACUGGGCGUAAAGGGCUCGUAGGUGGUUUGUCGCGUCGUCUGUGAAAUUCCGGGGCUUAACUCCGGGCGUGCAGGCGAUACGGGCAUAACUUGAGUACUGUAGGGGUAACUGGAAUUCCUGGUGUAGCGGUGAAAUGCGCAGAUAUCAGGAGGAACACCGAUGGCGAAGGCAGGUUACUGGGCAGUUACUGACGCUGAGGAGCGAAAGCAUGGGUAGCGAACAGGAUUAGAUACCCUGGUAGUCCAUGCCGUAAACGGUGGGCGCUAGGUGUGAGGGUCUUUUCACGACUUUCGUGCCGUAGCUAACGCAUUAAGCGCCCCGCCUGGGGAGUACGGCCGCAAGGCUAAAACUCAAAGGAAUUGACGGGGGCCCGCACAAGCGGCGGAGCAUGUGGAUUAAUUCGAUGCAACGCGAAGAACCUUACCUGGGCUUGACAUACACUGGAUCGGGCUAGAGAUAGUCUUUCCCUUUGUGGCUGGUGUACAGGUGGUGCAUGGUUGCCGUCAGCUCGUGUCGUGAGAUGUUGGGUUAAGUCCCGCAACGAGCGCAACCCUUGUCUUAUGUUGCUAGCAUUUGGUUGGGGACUCAUGAGAGACUGCCGGGGUCAACUCGGAGGAAGGUGGGGAUGACGUCAAAUCAUCAUGCCCCUUAUGUCCAGGGCUUCACACAUGCUACAAUGGUCGGUACAACGCGCAGCGACACUGUGAGGUGGAGCGAAUCGCUGAAAGCCGGCCUUAGUUCGGAUUGGGGUCUGCAACUCGACCCCAUGAAGUCGGAGUCGCUAGUAAUCGCAGAUCAGCAACGCUGCGGUGAAUACGUUCCCGGGCCUUGUACACACCGCCCGUCACGUCAUGAAAGUUGGUAACACCCGAAGCCGGUGGCCCAAACUUGUUAGGGAGCCGUCGAAGGUGGGAUCGGCGAUUGGGACGAAGUCGUAACAAGGUACCCGUACCGGAAGGUGCGGUUGGAUCACCU
Molecule: ribosomal RNA, 1521 nt
Filed under: uncultured bacterium
Lineage: Bacteria
Description: partial 16S ribosomal RNA
Rfam family: Bacterial small subunit ribosomal RNA
Source: RNAcentral